RNAcentral lists this ribosomal RNA (1018 nucleotides) under uncultured bacterium. RNAcentral's name for it is "bacterial SSU rRNA". It matches the Rfam family "Bacterial small subunit ribosomal RNA", at positions 357 to 1376 of the family's 1533-position model. The record is from RNAcentral.
AGGAAUAUUGGUCAAUGGGCGCAAGCCUGAACCAGCCAAGUAGCGUGAGGGAAGACUGCCCUAUGGGUUGUAAACCUCUUUUGUGCGGGGAUAAAGUGUGGGACGUGUCCCAUAUUGCAGGUACCGCACGAAUAAGGACCGGCUAAUUCCGUGCCAGCAGCCGCGGUAAUACGGAAGGUCCGGGCGUUAUCCGGAUUUAUUGGGUUUAAAGGGAGCGCAGGCCGUCCUUUAAGCGUGCUGUGAAAUGCCGCGGCUCAACCGUGGCACUGCAGCGCGAACUGGAGGACUUGAGUACGCACGAGGUAGGCGGAAUUCGUGGUGUAGCGGUGAAAUGCUUAGAUAUCACGAAGAACUCCGAUUGCGAAGGCAGCUUACCGGAGCGCAACUGACGCUGAGGCUCGAAAGCGCGGGUAUCGAACAGGAUUAGAUACCCUGGUAGUCCGCGCGGUAAACGAUGGAUGCCCGCCGUUGGGUUUUAGAAUUCAGCGGCCAAGCGAAAGCGUUAAGCAUCCCACCUGGGGAGUACGCCGGCAACGGUGAAACUCAAAGGAAUUGACGGGGGCCCGCACAAGCGGAGGAACAUGUGGUUUAAUUCGAUGAUACGCGAGGAACCUUACCCGGGCUUGAAUUGCAGGAGAACGAUCCAGAGAUGGUGAGGCCCUUCGGGGCUCCUGUGAAGGUGCUGCAUGGUUGUCGUCAGCUCGUGCCGUGAGGUGUCGGCUCAAGUGCCAUAACGAGCGCAACCCCUGUCCAUAGUUGCCAUCAGGUCGUGCUGGGCACUCUGUGGAGACUGCCGCCGUAAGGUGUGAGGAAGGUGGGGAUGACGUCAAAUCAGCACGGCCCUUACGUCCGGGGCUACACACGUGUUACAAUGGGGCAUACAGCGAGUUGGAUGUGCGCAAGUACGUCCGGAUCAAUAAAGUGCCUCUCAGUUCGGACUGGGGUCUGCAACCCGACCCCACGAAGCUGGAUUCGCUAGUAAUCGCGCAUCAGCCAUGGCGCGGUGAAUACGUUCCCG